CCUAAACCACUACUUACUGCUAUUAUCACUUUCUUAAUUUGAUCUUAAUCUUGGCUUUUGAAGAAGUUUUGGUGGAUGUUGCGUGAAGGUGGAGUUCUGAUGAUUUAUGAGUGGCCUUUUGGGCUCCUUUAGAAUGAGAUUUCUUCCUUCUCUUCAUUCCAAAUGAAGAAAGCCUCUUCUUCUUCUCUUUCUCCCUUAUCGUCUCCAGUUUGGGUUUCCAUUCGCGAGAACCAACAAGCAACCUGUAAUCCUUCUGUAACUGUGGAGUGGUGCAUACUCUGCUUCUGCUUUUACCUGACCUCUCAUCAUCCUCCUCGGACUCCUUCAUUUUGCUA
Molecule: unclassified non-coding RNA, 335 nt
Filed under: Hevea brasiliensis (rubber tree)
Lineage: Eukaryota; Viridiplantae; Streptophyta; Magnoliopsida; Malpighiales; Euphorbiaceae
Source: RNAcentral